Rhagoletis zephyria (snowberry fruit fly) is the source of this 605-nucleotide long non-coding RNA. RefSeq lists it as uncharacterized. The record is from RefSeq and is a predicted model, not a curated record. NCBI's taxonomy places the organism in Eukaryota, Metazoa, Arthropoda, Insecta, Diptera, Tephritidae.
UAUAAAGCAUCAGCACAUUAUCCGGACCUUCAAAAUUUACCACUCGAUACAAUGAAGGCUUUUAUCUUCGCACUAUUUCUCGGAGCCCCCUAUCUCUUUCGCCACAUUAAUGCUUUGCCGGAAAUAUCCAAUUGCGCCUUUGAGGACACCGUCAAUUUGACCGCCAGCAAAAAAUUCAGCAACGGAUCUUACCUCUAUGAAGGUGUGUUGGUGCCACCUGCUCUAAUCGGCCACUACAACUUUGUGGAGCUGUACGGUGGAGAACGUCAGCAUGUGAAGAAACACAUUCGAGGCUGUGUGUGUCGCCUCAAACGAUGCGUCAAGUUUUGCUGUCAUCCUCGGGCGGAAAUGUAUCGCGCAAGCGAGGACUCCGAUUCACAAUGUGAUGAGGAACUGAGUGAGGAGCUUUCUUAUUCGCCCUUCGUAAAUAUUACUUUACGUAAUAACAGUCAGGUUUUGAUGCAUGUCCUGGAUGAAUUUGUGGUGCAGCAAGGAAUCCCCUGCGGUGGAGGCUACAUGCUUAUGCCGCAUAAAUACGAAGAAGACCAUUGGGAAUUGUUUGAGGUAAGCCAUGAAAGAUUAACCCUCAAACCGGCAACUUUGAA